This 158-nucleotide ribosomal RNA is filed under the name uncultured Pseudomonas sp. RNAcentral's name for it is "partial 16S ribosomal RNA". It matches the Rfam family "Bacterial small subunit ribosomal RNA", at positions 371 to 527 of the family's 1533-position model. The record is from RNAcentral. Lineage: Bacteria; Pseudomonadati; Pseudomonadota; Gammaproteobacteria; Pseudomonadales; Pseudomonadaceae.
ANGGCGAGCUGAUCAGCCAUGCCGCGUGUGUGAAGAAGGUCUUCGGAUUGUAAAGCACUUUAAGUUGGGAGGAAGGGCAGUAAGUUAAUACCUUGCUGUUUUGACGUUACCAACAGAAUAAGCACCGGCUAACUUCGUGCCAGCAGCCGCGGUAAAUG